RNAcentral lists this long non-coding RNA (1290 nucleotides) under Homo sapiens (human). Its description in RNAcentral is "HSALNT0105171". Lineage: Eukaryota; Metazoa; Chordata; Mammalia; Primates; Hominidae. The record is from RNAcentral.
ACUUUUUUUUUUUUUUUUAAGACGGAGUCUCGCUCUGUCGCCCAGGCUGGAGUGCAGUGGCGCGAUCUCGGCUCACUGCAAGCUCCGCCUCUCGGGUUCACGCCAUUCUCCUGCCUCAGCCUCCCAAGUAGCUCGGACUACAGGCGUCCUCCACCAUGCCUGGCUAAUAUUUUGUAUUUUUUAGUAGAGACGGGGUUUCACCGUGUUAGCCAGGAUGGUCUCGAUCUCCUAACCUGGUGAUCCGCCCGCCUCGGCCUCCCAAAGUAUUGGGAUUACCCGCGUGAGCCACCGCGCCCGGCUGCAAAUAAUCUUUCUUUUUUUCUGAGACAGAGUCUCGCUCUGUUGCCCAGGCUGGAGUGCAGUGGCACGAUCUCGGCUCACGGCACGCUCCGCCUCCCGGGUUCACGCCAUUCUCCUGCCUCAGCUUCCCGAGUAGCUGGGACUACAGGGGCCCGCCACCACGCCCGGCUAACUUUUUGUGUUUUUAGUAGAGACGGGGUUUCACCGUGUUAGCCAGGAUGGUCUCGAUCUCCUGACCUUGUGAUCUGCCCGCCUCGGCCUCCCAAAGUGCUGGGAUUACAGGCGUGAGCCACCGCGCCCGGCGGCGAAACACGAUAUUGUACUAACAUCUUAAUUUUGUUAUAAAAUCUCACAAACCCCCUGACAUAGUCUCAGAGAUCUGUAGGGCCGAGGUUACAUUUGGAGAACCCGUACUCUAGGGCCAAAUCCAUUCUUCUUGCCCUGGCUCACUUGUCCCCCCCACCGCCCCGCGCUGGAGCCACUGCCUAGUUCUUCAGCCCUAGAUGGUGCUCGCCAGACCUCCUCUCAAUGCUCAUCACACACAGGGCUAUUCCUUUCCUCCAAUGAACCAAACGCCUCCCGCCCACCUCCAGGUCCCAGUCCUCUGUUCCCUUUGCCUGGUCCACCCUUGCCCUCCCUGGGUCGCAGACGAGGUCGGCCUCGUCAUUCCCCGCAGACCGCCGCGCGUCCCUCUUGUGCGGUUCACCACAGUUGUAUUUAAGUGAUCGUGUGAGUCGUCGUUAAAUGCCUGUCUCCCCGCGGAUCAUGGGCUCCUCGAGGACAGGGACUGGCCUGUCUGUCCACUGCUGUAACCCCGCGCCGGCAUAGGGACCUAAGGCCCACUGGAGGGCGCUCAUCAAGUAGCUGCUGGAUGUUGACGAAGGAAGCGGCGGCGCAGCUCAGGGAUCUCCGAGUCAGGACGGUCGGCCAGACCCACGGGGUAACGGGUCUAAUCGUGUAGGAAUAAAGCUGUAUUCCAGUGCUUCCAAA